UACAGAGGGGGCCAGCGUUAUUCGGAAUUAUUGGGCGUAAAGGGUGCGUAGGCGGCUUGGUAAGUUGGGUGUGAAAGCCCCGGGCUCAGCCCGGGAAGGGCACUCGAAACUGCCGAGCUGGAGUGCCGGAGGGGAGAGUGGAAUUCCUGGUGUAGCGGUGAAAUGCGUAGAUAUCGAGAGGAACACCUGCGGCGAAGGCGGGUUGCUGGGCCGACACUGACGCUGAUGCGCGAAAGCUAGGGGAGCGAACGGG
RNAcentral lists this ribosomal RNA (253 nucleotides) under uncultured bacterium. RNAcentral describes it as "partial 16S ribosomal RNA". It matches the Rfam family "Bacterial small subunit ribosomal RNA", at positions 524 to 776 of the family's 1533-position model. The record is from RNAcentral.